AACGAACGCUGGCGGCAUGCCUAACACAUGCCAGUCGAACGAGACCUUCGGGUCUAGUGGCGCACGGGUGCGUAACGCGUGGGAACCUGCCCUUAGGUUCGGAAUAACUCCCCGAAAGGGGUGCUAAUACCGGAUAAUGUCUUCGGACCAAAGAUUUAUCGCCUUUGGAUGGGCCCGCGUUGGAUUAGCUAGUUGGUAGGGUAAAAGCCUACCAAGGCGACGAUCCAUAGCUGGUCUGAGAGGAUGAUCAGCCACACUGGGACUGAGACACGGCCCAGACUCCUACGGGAGGCAGCAGUGGGGAAUAUUGGACAAUGGGCGAAAGCCUGAUCCAGCAAUGCCGCGUGAGUGAUGAAGGCCUUAGGGUUGUAAAGCUCUUUUACCCGGGAUGAUAAUAACAGUACCGGGAGAAUAAGCGCCGGCUAACUCCGUG
This 433-nucleotide ribosomal RNA is filed under the name uncultured bacterium. RNAcentral's name for it is "partial 16S ribosomal RNA". It matches the Rfam family "Bacterial small subunit ribosomal RNA", at positions 29 to 507 of the family's 1533-position model. The record is from RNAcentral.